AAGUCGUAACAAGGUUUCCGUAGGUGAACCUGCGGAAGGAUCAUUAACACGUAUCCAAACGUUAAAACCCCCCCCGUGAACCUUUAUGAGUGCGCCCUUGUGGGUACCCCGAGUCGUAGUGUAUGGUAAAUCAUGGGUGAGUUGGGAGUUCUUCUCAACAGGCACGAAGCAACAGCGGUAAAGCAAUAACUUGUCUGAAAGUGUCAUUUAUUGUGUAAGCCGGCGCUUAAGCGUGCGACUGGAGACCAUCACGGCCAGUGCCUGUUCCGGAUCCUCGUGGUCCCCUACCACAUAAAUUACGACGUCAGUGGUGCGAGGGCCAAGUGGCCUGCCGCACCGAACGCACAACUGUUAACAAUGGAUAUCUUGGUUCUC
This 375-nucleotide unclassified non-coding RNA is filed under the name fungal sp. RNAcentral describes it as "partial internal transcribed spacer region". The stretch from base 1 to 46 matches the Rfam family "Eukaryotic small subunit ribosomal RNA", at positions 1786 to 1831 of the family's 1831-position model. The record is from RNAcentral. Lineage: Eukaryota; Fungi.